This is a long non-coding RNA of Acyrthosiphon pisum (pea aphid), 250 nucleotides long. RefSeq lists it as uncharacterized. The transcript has 2 exons. The record is from RefSeq and is a predicted model, not a curated record. NCBI's taxonomy places the organism in Eukaryota, Metazoa, Arthropoda, Insecta, Hemiptera, Aphididae.
AUCCACGACUCGAGACAACGACGAACGUGCGACGUCGUUAAAUAAUUAUUGUAUUAGUGUUCAACGUGUCCUGCACGGCGAUCACUACACAUUUAUUGCAUAAUAGCAUAUGGUAAAAUUGAGUUGGAAAUCAAAUUAAUCGAUGUUUUGGCCCACACAAGAUAUUUGAAAGUAAAAGUUUAAUAAAAUUAUGUUUUAGUAUAAUUAGACACUGUGUAAUCGGAAUUUUAAUAAAAGUUUUUGGUGGAUA